UUCUUUGCAUUUUUUACCCCUAAGAAGCCAACUCAGGGUGCUGCUAUCUGGUCUCAAUGGUAGGGCGCUAACUACGGAGCUACGCCCUUUCCUCGCGCUGCCGCGCCGCUCGCGUGUGAACCUGUAACACCCCAAAACAACGUGGGGUGAGAACUAACUCCAUAGUUCCCAGUGGGUACGGCCACCCAAGGGAAGAGCUCGACCAUCAGAUCCAAAAGAGGCAAACAACAUGUUAGUCCAAUAGAUAGUAUGAAAUCAUAAAUCAUGCAACUAACAUUACCAUGCUUUUGCCUCACAACAUGCAAUAUGCAAAUUAUGCAACUCAUAUAGUAGAUUAAUUGCUUCUACACUUUAUUCUUAUCCAUUCUUUACUUUUACUCAUUCUUUACUUUACUAGCUAUUCUUUAGCAUUAACCUUUCUUUAUUCUUUAUUACUUGUCUUUCUUUAACAUUAGCCUUUUCUUAUUCUUGAUUCUUCAUUCUUUAUUCUUUACGCUUUACUAAGGGUACUCACACCUUAGUAAUAUUAUACACAUUAGCCUUUCUUUCCUAAGGUUACUUUACCUUAGCCAACUUUGCCAUCCGACUCGGUCUUGAGUCAAUCAACUGCGGAUAGUCCGCGCUCUGUCCGGCUCGAGGUGAAGGAACUCUCACAU
Molecule: long non-coding RNA, 656 nt
Filed under: Ananas comosus (pineapple)
Lineage: Eukaryota; Viridiplantae; Streptophyta; Magnoliopsida; Poales; Bromeliaceae
Description: long non-coding RNA (ACOM_LNC036318)
Source: RNAcentral